This 505-nucleotide ribosomal RNA is filed under the name uncultured bacterium. RNAcentral's name for it is "partial 16S ribosomal RNA". It matches the Rfam family "Bacterial small subunit ribosomal RNA", at positions 28 to 507 of the family's 1533-position model. The record is from RNAcentral.
GACGAACGCUGGCGGCGUGCCUAAUACAUGCAAGUAGAACGCACAGUUUAUACCGUAGCUUGCUACACCAUAAACUGUGAGUUGCGAACGGGUGAGUAACGCGUAGGUAACCGGCCUGGUAGCGGGGGAUAACUAUUGGAAACGAUAGCUAAUACCGCAUAAUAUUAAUUAUUGCAGGAUAAUUGAUUGAAAGAUGCAAUUGCAUCACUACAAGAUGGACCUGCGUUGUAUUAGCUAGUAGGUGAGGUAACGGCUCACCUAGGCGACGAUACAUAGCCGACCUGGGAGGGUGAUCGGCCACACUGGGACUGAGACACGGCCCAGACGCCUACGGGAGGCAGCAGUAGGGAAUCUUCGGCAAUGGACGAAAGUCUGACCGAGCAACGCCGCGUGAGUGAAGAAGGUUUUCGGAUCGUAAAGCUCUGUUGUAAGAGAAGAACGGGUGUGAGAGUGGAAAGUUCACACUGUGACGGUAUCUUACCAGAAAGGGACGGCUAACUACGUG